Molecule: RNA transcript, 1859 nt
Organism: Magnolia sinica
Lineage: Eukaryota; Viridiplantae; Streptophyta; Magnoliopsida; Magnoliales; Magnoliaceae
Gene name: histone H3-lysine(4) N-trimethyltransferase ATX1-like
Exons: 10
Source: RefSeq, a predicted model, not a curated record
GAAUUCGGUUUGCCUCUGACCCGACACUGGAUGGAGCGAGUCGCCGCUCAGUGGCGCCCACAUGCUGAGUGCUCCGAUGAUCGGAGCCGUCCAUGAUUUGGACCAUCACUGUCUGAAAAGUCGAUUUUAAGCACGUGGACCCUAGUGGAUGUCGACACCCGCUGGUCUUGGAUUGCAAGGGAGGCAAAAGCAACUCAUUCCAAUGAGAAAGUGAGAGGUGGGAGAGAAGUCGCGCGCAUAUGAAUCCACAUAUAAACGAUGGGCGGGAAGCAAAAGCAACGCCUCCACCUUUGAUUGAGAGGCCUGGUCCGAUCUUCCCCAGCUCCUUUUUCCCAUCUGCAUCUCGUUCAGGGAGGGUGAUGUUUGCAGCACUUACUGUUGGGUGUAGGAAGUUGUCACAUCAGCUGUUUUGAAGUGCAAAUUCAAAUAUGGAAGUAAAACACCUCAAAAAUGUUGGAAAUCAUGUUGGCAAGGAUAGUGAGGCAGCCACGAAAGGUGGGGAUGACAAAUUGAGGAAGGAGUUCACAUUGGGGGAUAUUGUAUGGAUUAAGAUCUAUGACUCUUCAUGGUGGCCUGCACAGGUUGUAGACGAGAACACCAUAGGUGGGGGUGAAAAGAUCGAGAAGAAAAUGGAGGGUGGAGUUCUCACUCGACUCUAUGGAAGCUAUGAGUACUUGUAUGUGGACCCCAUGAAAUACCACUCUGAGUUUGAGAAUGUUCUUAAGCAAAAUAACUGUAGUGUCAAAGAGAUUCUAAAUAAAGCUUUGGAGCAGGAUCUUUCUCAAAUCAAAUCUGGUGCUAAAUCAAAGAGGAAAGCUUCUACACGUAAAGCUAUAGUUGAAGCUUCUAGAGAUAAAAUGCCUAAGCAAGAUAGGAUUGAGACAACUCAGGCAAUGGGUUCUUUAGGAAAACUGCAGGAUGGAGUAAAGAGUAAUCUCUUGGAGGCAAAGGCUAGAGAUGAAUCAUGCAAGGACAAAAUAUCAGUGCAAGAUGGAGUUAAGAAAAAGAAGAAAGCAGAUGGCCAAGACUCUGAUAUGCAUGCUGGUAGAAAGAGAAAGCAAAGAGAUCCCUCUGCAGAAAAUGGUGUUAGUGUUGCCUCGAAAGCAGGUCGCCCAGGCUCUGAUGUGCUUUUGUCGGUGAGAGUGAAGAAAAGAAAUCUCUCCAAGGAAAGCACUCCAGGUGAAGCCUUGAAGAAGCCAAAGGAACGUAGUGUUGGGAAAAACCACAAGACAAAUGGCCUGGAUCCUAUAUGUUCCCACUCAAAUAUUCCAUGUCCCUCAAUAAGCUAAUGUUCUGGACUGUUGUAGCAUAUGACAAAUGCAUGCUUGCGAGCGCCCAUCCGCAAACACCAAACACAAGCACCCUGCCAAUGUGGCACACAAGUGUGAAAUCUGGGCUGUCCACAAAUCAGGUCGCAGAUCCCAUGGGAAGGUUUCUGUUGCCCAAAAAUCAGGUUGGGAUGCUCAUCAACCGGGGCACAUGUAUGUUGAAAAUAUGUGGCCCACUUGAAGGGUGGUGGACAAGCCUGUAUGUUGGGUUGAACACCUUCGCUGCUGGACUUGAUGAAUGGCCCAACUCUCUCACACAAACACCAUGUUGGCACGGGUGUUGCGCUAUUGUUUGUCUGCUGGUAGUGUUCCUUUUAGACUUAUUCAAAUCUAACUUAAGACUUGCUAUUAGCUUAGAAAUUCCUUUGUAAUAUGGCAGGAUGGGGUACAGAGGUCCACCACGGAAGCUGCUGUGGUUGACGUCUUGAAAACCCCAAAACAAGGGGAUAGGAAAGACAAAAAAACAAUCAGCAGCCCAAUCUCUGCAACCAACUCAUUAAAGUGCUCACAAGAUAUGAGCGCAAGGCGAAU